UACGGAGGGUGCAAGCGUUGUCCGGAAUCACUGGGUGUAAAGGGUGUGUAGGCGGGCCAGCAAGUCAGAGGUGAAAUCCCACAGCUUAACUGUGGAACUGCCUUUGAUACUGUUGGCCUUGAAUCUCGGAGGGGUUACUAGAAUUCGUGGUGUAGCGGUGAAAUGCGUAGAUAUCACGAGGAAUACCAGAGGCGUAGGCG
Molecule: ribosomal RNA, 200 nt
Filed under: uncultured bacterium
Lineage: Bacteria
Description: partial 16S ribosomal RNA
Rfam family: Bacterial small subunit ribosomal RNA
Source: RNAcentral